UAUGUGUGUGUAGUCAUCAUGUGAUCAUACUAUGGGCUGGUUGAACAUGGACAAGUGUUGCCUACUUAGAUGAAAUAAAUAACUCUCACUUUACAUGUACUAAUGACAGCAGUCCAUCGAAAUAAUACUCAGCAAUCAUCUAAUGAUGUUUUGCCAGAAAAUUCAGCCGACGAACAAACAGAAAAGCUUUUCACAGGUGAACAUGACGAUGAUAAACAAAACGACUGCUCUUCUCCGGAUGACCAAACAAACCAUGUGGAAGCUGGAGUUUCAGCGGAUAAUAUAAAUGUAAAUCCAAAUAUAAAUACUAAUCCAAGAAGGUUUAGCUUCCGAAAACUAUGGGCUUUUACAGGUCCAGGUUUUCUGAUGAGUAUUGCUUACUUGGAUCCAGGUAAUAUAGAAUCUGACCUUCAGACAGGAGUCAUUGUUAAAUAUAAGUUAUUAUGGAUGUUGUUUUGGUCAACAUUCAUGGGUUUGAUAUUACAACUCCUGGCAGCUCGACUUGGAUCUGUCACUGGAGAGAACUUAGCCCAAGUCUGCAGAAAAGAAUAUCCCAAAUUCCCUCGCCUACUUCUCUGGAUAAUGAUUGAGUUAGCUAUUAUAGGCAGUGAUAUUCAAGAAGUCAUUGGUUCGGCAAUUGCAAUUAACCUCCUGUCAAAUGGAUUGGUUCCAAUAUGGGGCGGUGUUUUAAUCACUGGUUUGGACACAUUCACUUUUUUAUUCCUGGAAAAUGCAGGACUGAGAAUACUGGAAGGUUUCUUUGGUCUACUAAUCUCUAUAAUGGCAGUGUGUUUCAUGUACCUGUUCAUUAUUAUCAAGCCAGACUUUGUAGAAAUCAUGAAAGGUUUAGCCAUUCCGUGGUGUAAAGACUGUAGCAGAGAUGGUAUUCAACAAAUGGCUGGCAUUAUUGGAGCUGUUGUGAUGCCUCAUAAUAUAUAUCUUCACAGUGCUCUCGUUUUGUCUCGUAGUGUUGACCGAACGGACAAAAGAAAUAUCAAAGAAGCUAACAUGUAUUAUACCAUUGAAUCGUCUUUGGCCCUGUUCUUAUCAUUUAUCAUCAACAUGUUUGUGGUAACUGUCUUCGCUGCUGCAAACCUACCUGAUGGCACUGAUACACUUGCAAAAGCUGGAACAUGGUUAGCUACACACUUCAAUAUGCCUGCUUUAAAAAUUAUUUGGGCAGUUGGAGUUUUGGCUUCUGGACAAAGUUCAACUAUGACGGGAACUUAUACUGGACAGUUUGUCAUGGAGGGUUUCCUUAACAUCAGAUGGCCAAAAUGGCAGCGUGUACUGAUGACCCGAUCAAUUGCAAUGGUUCCAACGAUUUUGGUGGCAUUAUUAGCUCAGAAAUUCUUGGAUCCUUUGAACACUUGGUUAAAUGUGUUACAGAGUGUCGAAUUACCAUUUGCAUUGUUUCCCAUUCUUCACUUUACAAGCAGUUUGAAGAUAAUGAAUGAUUUCAAAAAUGGCAGAACAGUGAAAGUCCUUGGUAUGUUUACUUGAUAACAGCCAUUGUUGGUCUACUGUAUUUCAUGUUUGUUUUAUACCUGGGUAUUGGGAGGAAGAAUUGCCUCAAAUUAAAGAUAUUUGUACUGAGAUGUCUUAGAAGAAUUUCUGAUUUGCCAGCCUUUGAACGAGAAGAACAAAUAGCCUAUGAAAUUUUAGAAGAACAAUAUUAAGCACCAGGAUUUUA
RNAcentral lists this unclassified non-coding RNA (1693 nucleotides) under Octopus sinensis (East Asian common octopus). RNAcentral describes it as "natural resistance-associated macrophage protein 2, transcript variant X4". The record is from RNAcentral. Lineage: Eukaryota; Metazoa; Mollusca; Cephalopoda; Octopoda; Octopodidae.